GACGAACGCUGGCGGCGUGCUUAACACAUGCAAGUCGAACGGAAAGGCCCUGCUUUUGUGGGGUGCUCGAGUGGCGAACGGGUGAGUAACACGUGAGUAACCUGCCCUUGACUUUGGGAUAACUUCAGGAAACUGGGGCUAAUACCGGACAGCAGCUCCCGCCGCGUGGUGGGGGUGGGAAAGUUUCGGGGGUUGGGGAUGGACUCGCGGCUUAUCAGCUUGUUGGUGGGGUAGUGGCUUACCAAGGCUUUGACGGGUAGCCGGCCUGAGAGGGUGACCGGCCAAAUUGGGACGGGGAUAGGGCCCAGACUCCUCCGGGAGGAGGCAGUGGGGAAUAUUGAACAAUGGGGGGAAGCCGGAUGCAGCAAGGCCGGGGGGGGGAGGAGGGCCUUGGGGUUGUAAACCGCUUUCGCCUGGAACGAAGCGUGAGUGACGGUAAUGGGUAAAGAAGCACCGGCUAACUACGUG
RNAcentral lists this ribosomal RNA (468 nucleotides) under uncultured bacterium. RNAcentral's name for it is "partial 16S ribosomal RNA". It matches the Rfam family "Bacterial small subunit ribosomal RNA", at positions 28 to 507 of the family's 1533-position model. The record is from RNAcentral.